UUGACUAAGUGGUCGGCACGGACUGCAAUGGUGUAGUAUCUGUUCUUGUCAGUUUAAUAUCUGAUAAGUCUCCUAUAUGUGGACCAUAUAUUAAAUUGAGUUUUGGAGCAGGGAGAUGGAAUAGGGGCUUGCUCCGUCCACUCCACGCAUCGACCUGGUAUUGCAGUACAUCCAGGAACAGAGAAUGACCU
Nerophis lumbriciformis (worm pipefish) is the source of this 191-nucleotide small nuclear RNA. RefSeq annotates it as U2 spliceosomal RNA. NCBI's taxonomy places the organism in Eukaryota, Metazoa, Chordata, Actinopteri, Syngnathiformes, Syngnathidae. The record is from RefSeq and is a predicted model, not a curated record.